CUUUUACUUAUAGUUGAUAUUUUGUCCAUACCUGUCGCCGCAAUCACGCACGCUCUUGAGAUAGAUGAGAUAGGUUUUUAAGCUUAGUAUUUCUUUUUAUAUUUGUCGAACAGCGUUUUCUUACAAAGUCUUUACUUAAGCCUUGAAACCAAAAUUAGCACGUUGAAAGUUUAUUAAAUUAUAUUCGUUUGUAGAAAUUAAAAACUAACCUCUAAAUAUGAGUUUAAUCGAAAGAUUUUAACGCAUCAAGAAAUAAAGCGAAUUAAAUUAUUUUUAAAAUAAAGCAUAAUAACUUGAAGAAGCUGAUACUGGAACCUUUCCAUUAUAUUAUUCGUUCUAAUUAAUUGGUUUUAUUAAUAGUACUACUUACUCUUAAUUAUUUUUAUUAGCUAUUAUUAUAUCCAAAAUACAUUUCAUUUCAGAUCGACAUUUAAUAAGACGUUUUUACUUGAUAUGACGCAGUAUUUUACAAGGGAAUGUACUAUAUUUAUCAUUGAAAGAGGAUCAAAAUAAAGUCUGGAAGACCAUAUUGUUAAAAUGUGGGAAGGCCAGAAGAUUUCUAGAAAGAAUAAUAAUGGAUCUGAGUCACAAUCGUUAAUCAGAGAAUUGACAAAAUGUUUUAAAAGAAGUAUCCUAUUAAUUGAUAAUAUUCUAGCAUUGAAUUGGCCAAUCAUUGAUGCUCAGCAAUCUAUUAUUUCAUUUAAGAAUAAAAAAUGAUGACGUCGAUCCAGAAAUGUAUCAUUAUGUAUUGGAUUAUUACUAUGCUAAGGAAAUGAACGCAACAAAGAAAUAUUCCAUUGUGCAAUAGAUUGGACUGGCUUUCAAUUGGUAUGUACCAGGAGUCUGUAUCUUCAUCUCGAUUCUGUUUUCGCUGGUUCUCAACAAGAAUAUCGCCACGAUAAGAUCAUGCCUCAACAAACUGUUCAAUCCUCCAUGAUUACUGGAUUUUCAUUGAAUAAGAACGGUUAUUAUUCUUAUGAAAAUAGAAAAGAAAAAUAUCUUAGGGUUCAGGGAUACCAUUCGAUAAUAUGUAUUCGUCAGUUAGUCGAUGGUUUCUUGUCGAAAAAUUCAUUAUAUUCUCUACAGAAAAAUUCAUUAUGUACGCAAAGAUUGAGAAAAGCAAGAAAACUAUCCAAGAGAUCAUCGGGAUCAUCUGAAAGAAUAUUGAAGAGCAUAGAGAUGAAGACAGAGUAAAUUUAUUUAUCGAAUUUGCUUAGCCUUAUAACAAUCAUAGAAGAGGAGAAAAGCAGUUUAUUACAAAUGAUGCUUAAAGAGAAUGUCACUGAAGAUUGUGUGGAAACCAAUGAAUCGUUGAUGAAAGAAGGAUAAGAUAUGAACCACGUUCUUGUAUCAAUCUUGCUAUGGCAAUCUAUCCUCACACGUACGUUUAUCUAUUCAAUGGAUCAUCUUGGCGGUAGACGCUUCGUUUCCAAGCUUUUUAUGGAAAAGAACAAAAAGUCCACGUGCUACAGCAUCAUCGAAGGUUCGGGAGAUAUCUAUAAUAUCUAUAAUAACGAUAGUAGGAAGCGUAAACCAAAGCAUUGGCUUAUUUGAGAUUUUUAUUUGGCGAUAAAUUGAACGAUUGGAACGAAAAAGUGAUUAAAUUUAUUGUUAGGUUUUUCAUUAACUAAUUAUUUAUCAUGUUAUGAAUAAAAGUUCGAUCACUGAAUACGUAAGCCAUCAUUCUAAUGUCUAUAGCAUUAAACGCUGAGAAAAUUUUCAUCACCGAAUUCGACAAUUAUUUUUUUCGAAUUAAAAGAAGUAAGCGAAUAGAUGAUUGCCGGAUUGUAUUCUCGAAUGUUUGAAGGAAGUAUGAAUUAAAGAGUCAGCUGAAGAUUCAAUUUAACGUGUAUGAUUUGUCCAGUCGUUAGGAACAAAAUAAGAUCUAGUUUUAUUAAUUACAUUUGAAUCUUUUUAAUAUUUAAUAAAAUAAAAGUUGUUAUCAACCAGAAGCUUAAAAUCGCAUUUCUUCAAUAUCUAUCGACUUAAAAUAAAGAAAAUGAUACGACUCUGA
This is a long non-coding RNA of Vespa velutina, 2014 nucleotides long. RefSeq lists it as uncharacterized. The record is from RefSeq and is a predicted model, not a curated record. The transcript is spliced from 5 exons. NCBI's taxonomy places the organism in Eukaryota, Metazoa, Arthropoda, Insecta, Hymenoptera, Vespidae.